AUGACCGCACUGGGCCGUUUCUUUCUUUUCCGGACCCAGCAGUGGCGCCUAAAGUCUGCAAGGAGGAAGUCACCUCUAUGCUCAGUUGUGGUCACUGAUAAGGAGGACCCUGAGGGCAACCACACCUUGCCAUGCAGAGCACCUGGCUUCUCACCUGCCAACCUCACUCUGACCUGGCUGCAGGAAGGGAAGGAGCCAACUCUGGACUCAAGAUUCAAGGGGACCAGACCCAGAGAGAUGAGACAUACCAGGGCUGGGCAGCUGUGGGGGUCCUUCCAGAGAGGAGCUGAGAUACACCUACCUGGAGGGGCCCCAGGGCCUGGAGGGGCUCCUCAGUGUGACUGGGUGAGGUGUUUUCAGAGGACCAGGGUUGAGGGUGGGGGCAUCUCAUCCAGACCCUGCCCCCUCUCUGCCCCAGGACCCAAGGCCCCCUUCCUCCCUCCUCAAUGGAGAUGCUGGGGAUGUCCUUAGUCACCCUCUGAGUACUCACACAUCACCCCUUAUUUGGAAGUUUUUCUUGUUCUAACCUCCUUCCUUCCUGCUGCACCUUCUGCCUCAGCCCCAGGCUCUGGCCUCUGUCUCUCCUCUUCUACCCUCUAGCCGGUGACUGAUUUCCCACUGAGGAGCCAGCUCUAGGUGAGAGUCUGGGCUCUCGGUGAGGUUGGGAGAAGGAAAAGGCUUAUGGGCCAGGGGAUGGGAGGGAGAAUGGGCACAGCCAGAGCAGAAGUGAAAGGGUUGGAGGAGGCGAUAAAGACAGAUGUUUCCAUAUCACCAUUUUUCUUUCAUGGUCCAAGGGAGCUGUCCUUCCUCCAGGCCCAGGGAAGUGAAAAAAGAAGCAGGAACAGUGAAAUACGCCACAGGAAAGAAAAAUCUUAGUGAUCCCUCCUGCUGUCUCUCUCCUUUUGUCUAUUCUGGCAAAUUUUGUAAGUGAAAUUUGUUACCAAGAUAUGAAAAUCUUAUUAUAAGAAAGUCUGUAAAUAUUUGAGAAUAAAAUGAUCAAUGUCUCAGCUCUGCAGACUGAAAAAACAGAAGCUUUACAAAAUAAAAUCAUGUUUGGAAAACUCUCCUCUGAGGGAUAUCAAAGGCUGCACUGAAUAAGCUCUAAGGAGGUGCUGAAAUGACAGCCAUUUAUUUGCCUGUGUAAGCUCAGGCAGGUGUUGGAAUUGAGGAAGGAUAGGUAAUGAAAAAAGUAACCAUGUGCUUGGGGCACAGUGAUGGUGAUGACCACAGAAUCAACACAAUAAGCUGUAGCAUUUGCAUCGUAGUCCAGUUCAUUCAAGCAAAGCUAUCUCCAAUAGGGAAUUUACCCUGUACAGAACAUGUGCAUUUUGAUUUCACCUUUUCUAACUGACCCUUUGCUCAUGACAAUAGUGAAAAAAUACAGCCCUGGGUGGAGAUUUAAGAUGCUAACGAGUCAUGAGAUGUAUGAACAUGCAUGUACAGCUACUGCACAUGUGCACCCAGAAGACCACCCAGAACAUGCUUACUAGUAACCCCUCUUCCCACCCACCUCCUAUGAAUAAUCAUGUAAGACUCCCAUAAAGGGAGUUUAUCCAGCAGUAAUCAAUGCUGUCUCAUCCAUAGGAACAGCCUGUCCUGAAUCCUCUCUCUCAGGGUAUACAGUUUAUUUUGCACUUAACUUUCAAAAUAGUAUUUUUCCUUUGUAAUAAAUUGCUUUGUACUUCUCCUUUGCUGCAUGUUUCUUAUUUAAAUUCUUUUAAAUGAAGAAGUCAAGAACCACAGUAUUACAACAGCCGUCAACAUUUCUGGUGCCAUGACUCAGACAGAGGUUUGUCUGCUUCAUUGGUUUCAAUUCCCCUUCACUCCUGGUGAGUCCUGUGGCAGCCCCAGACCCCUGAUUGACUAUCACUGCUUUCCCCAGAUCUAUUCUAUUAAGGUUUUGGGGGAGGACCUUUUAAAUCACUCACAUUAUUUGAGCAACUGAUUGUGAUUGCUUUCCAUUUGGCUGCUGUUUUUGCAAUGUUUACAAUUACCUUAUUUGGAUGGAACACCCUGAUUAUUCAGCCUUUGGACUCUUGCUGCUUCUGUUUCACCUUUUGUUUUACUGUCCCUCCCAGGACUGCACCUGAUCAGUACUUAUUGGCUACUGUAACUUUUUUUUUUUUUUUUUUUUUUGAGACAGAGUCUCACUCUGUCACCCAGGCUGGAGUACAGUGGCUCAAUCUCGGCUCACUGCAACCUCCGCCUCACGGGCUCAAGCAAUUCUCCUGCCUCAGCCUCCCAAGUAGCUGGGAUUACAGGCAUGCGCCACCAUGCCCAGCUAAUUUUUGUAUUUUUAGUAGAGACAGGGUUUCACCAUGUUGGCCCGGCUGGUCUCGAACUCCUGACCUCGUGAUCCGCCUGCCUCGGCCUCCCAAAGUGCUGGGAUUACAGGCGUGAGCCACUGCACCCAGCACUUGUUUGUUAAUCAACUAAUCUCUUCAAAGAUUUUUGUUCACCUUG
Macaca mulatta (Rhesus monkey) is the source of this 2463-nucleotide long non-coding RNA. The record is from Ensembl. NCBI's taxonomy places the organism in Eukaryota, Metazoa, Chordata, Mammalia, Primates, Cercopithecidae.